RNAcentral lists this ribosomal RNA (252 nucleotides) under uncultured bacterium. Its description in RNAcentral is "partial 16S ribosomal RNA". It matches the Rfam family "Bacterial small subunit ribosomal RNA", at positions 524 to 776 of the family's 1533-position model. The record is from RNAcentral.
UACGUAGGGGGCUAGCGUUAUCCGGAAUUACUGGGCGUUAAGGGUGCGUAGGUGGUUUCUUAAGUCAGAGGUGAAAGGCUACGGCUCAACCGUAGUAAGCCUUUGAAACUGGGGAACUUGAGUGCAGGAGAGGAGAGUGGAAUUCCUAGUGUAGCGGUGAAAUGCGUAGAUAUUAGGAGGAACACCAGUUGCGAAGGCGGCUCUCUGGACUGUAACUGACACUGAGGCACGAAAGCGUGGGGAUCGAACAGG